This 65-nucleotide transfer RNA is filed under the name bovine gut metagenome. It matches the Rfam family "tRNA". From Rfam's summary of the family: Transfer RNA (tRNA) molecules are approximately 80 nucleotides in length. The record is from RNAcentral.
GGCGUGGCUCAACGGUAGAGCAGCUGAUUUGUAAUCAGCAGGUUGGGGGUUCGACUCCCUCCGCC